CCUACGGGUGGCAGCAGUGAGGAAUAUUGGUCAAUGGGCGUAAGCCUGAACCAGCCAAGUCGCGUGAGUGAUGAAGGUUCUCUGGAUCGUAAACCUCUUUUAUAAGGGAAUAAAGUGUGGGACGUGUCCUAUUUUGUAUGUACCUUAUGAAUAAGGAUCGGCUAACUCCGUGCCAGCAGCCGCGGUAAUACGGAGGAUCCGAGCGUUAUCCGGAUUUAUUGGGUUUAAAGGUUGCGUAGGCGGCCUUUUAAGUCAGUGGUGAAAGUCUGUGGCUCAACCAUAGAAUUGCUGUUGAAACUGGUGGGCGUGAGUAUGUUUGAGGCAAGCGGAAUGCGUGGUGUAGCGGUGGAAUGCUUAGAUAUCAGGCAGAACCCCGAUGGCGAAGGCAGCCGGCCAGGCCAUGACUGACGCUGAUGCACGAAAGCGUGGGGAGCAAACAGGAUUAGAUACCCUUGUAGUC
Molecule: ribosomal RNA, 460 nt
Filed under: uncultured bacterium
Lineage: Bacteria
Description: partial 16S ribosomal RNA
Rfam family: Bacterial small subunit ribosomal RNA
Source: RNAcentral